Small nucleolar RNA from Hypanus sabinus (Atlantic stingray), 71 nucleotides. RefSeq annotates it as small nucleolar RNA SNORD18. The transcript has a single exon. Lineage: Eukaryota; Metazoa; Chordata; Chondrichthyes; Myliobatiformes; Dasyatidae. The record is from RefSeq and is a predicted model, not a curated record.
GACGAUGAUGAGAUUCCACUUCAUGGUCCGUGUUUUUGACAACUCAUGAUACUAGUGGAAGUUCUGAUGUC